RNAcentral lists this small nuclear RNA (118 nucleotides) under Lupinus angustifolius (narrow-leaved blue lupine). Its description in RNAcentral is "snRNA U5". It matches the Rfam family "U5 spliceosomal RNA". From Rfam's summary of the family: U5 RNA is a component of both types of known spliceosome. The precise function of this molecule is unknown, though it is known that the 5' loop is required for splice site selection and p220 binding, and that both the 3' stem-loop and the Sm site are important for Sm protein binding and cap methylation. The record is from RNAcentral. Lineage: Eukaryota; Viridiplantae; Streptophyta; Magnoliopsida; Fabales; Fabaceae.
AGCUGUGUGGUAAACACAAAGCGAACUAUUUUUUCACCUUUUACUAAAGAAUACUGUGUGUUUGUCAUCUAAAGCAGCAUACGCUAAUUUUUGGGAAGAGCUUUCCUUCUUAUGAGAC